AUGACGGAGAAGUUUGAGGUCAUCAUAACGAAGGAGGAGACAUGUGUAAAGCGCCAUGAGGUGAAGGAGUCAAAGACGACGAAGGGGUUUAGCAAGUUCAUGGAGAUACAAGAGAAGAAUCUUGAGAUCAAGGUUGCUUCCAAUGACUCCAAGAUGUUGUUUGUGAAGAUGUUGGAUUAUGAUCCUGAUGUGACGAAGAUUGUCCUAGCCUAG
RNAcentral lists this ribosomal RNA (213 nucleotides) under Triticum aestivum (bread wheat). RNAcentral describes it as "partial small subunit ribosomal RNA". Lineage: Eukaryota; Viridiplantae; Streptophyta; Magnoliopsida; Poales; Poaceae. The record is from RNAcentral.